RNAcentral lists this ribosomal RNA (253 nucleotides) under uncultured prokaryote. Its description in RNAcentral is "partial 16S ribosomal RNA". It matches the Rfam family "Bacterial small subunit ribosomal RNA", at positions 524 to 776 of the family's 1533-position model. The record is from RNAcentral.
UACAGAGGGUGCAAGCGUUGUUCGGAAUUAUUGGGCGUAAAGGGCGCGUAGGCGGUGCCACAAGUCACCUGUGAAAUCUCCGGGCUUAACUCGGAGCCUGCAGGCGAAACUGUGGUGCUGGAGUGUGGGAGAGGUGCAUGGAAUUCCCGGUGUAGCGGUGAAAUGCGUAGAUAUCAGGAGGAACACCUGUGGUGUAGACAGCUUACUGGACCAUUUCUGACGCUGAGACACGAAAGCGUGGGUAGCAAACGGG